ACCUCGGUGGUGUAGUGGUAGCUCGUGUCCCCGUUAUAGAUGAAACGCGGGUUCGCUUCCCGCCCGAGGUC
Parelaphostrongylus tenuis is the source of this 71-nucleotide non-coding RNA. Lineage: Eukaryota; Metazoa; Nematoda; Chromadorea; Rhabditida; Metastrongylidae. The record is from the annotation of a GenBank genome assembly.